UCCAUGAUGGCCGAGGCAUUAGGCACCGAGCUUUUAACUCGACUACAGUUACGAUUCAACUUCAGGAUA
RNAcentral lists this transfer RNA (69 nucleotides) under Cuneopsis celtiformis. RNAcentral describes it as "tRNA-Lys". The record is from RNAcentral. Lineage: Eukaryota; Metazoa; Mollusca; Bivalvia; Unionida; Unionidae.